GACGGACGCUGGCGGCGUGCCUAAUACAUGCAAGUAGAACGCACAGUUUAUACCGUAGCUUGCUACACCAUAGACUGUGAGUUGCGAACGGGUGAGUAACGCGUAGGUAACCUGCCUGGUAGCGGGGGAUAACUAUUGGAAACGAUAGCUAAUACCGCAUAAUAUUAAUUAUUGCAUGAUAAUUAAUUGAAAGGUGCAAUUGCACCACUACCAGAUGGACCUGCGUUGUAUUAGCUAGUAGGUGAGGUAACGGCUCACCUAGGCGACGAUACAUAGCCGACCUGAGAGGGUGAUCGGCCACACUGGGACUGAGACACGGCCCAGACUCCUACGGGAGGCAGCAGUAGGGAAUCUUCGGCAAUGGACGAAAGUCUGACCGAGCAACGCCGCGUGAGUGAAGAAGGUUUUCGGAUCGUAAAGCUCUGUUGUAAGAGAAGAACGGGUGUGAGAGUGGAAAGUUCGCACUGUGACGGUAUCUUACCAGAAAGGGACGGCUAACUACGUG
This 505-nucleotide ribosomal RNA is filed under the name uncultured bacterium. RNAcentral's name for it is "partial 16S ribosomal RNA". It matches the Rfam family "Bacterial small subunit ribosomal RNA", at positions 28 to 507 of the family's 1533-position model. The record is from RNAcentral.